CCUACGGGAGGCAGCAGUGAGGAAUAUUGGUCAAUGGGCGCGAGCCUGAACCAGCCACGUCGCGUGAGGGAGGACGGCCCUCCGGGUUGUAAACCUCUUUUGCCGGGGAGCAAAGGGCGUCACGUGUGGCGCCACUGCGAGUACCCGGCGAAAAAGCAUCGGCUAACUCCGGGCCGGCAGCCGCGGUAAUCCGGUGGAUGCGAGCGUUAUCCGGAUUUAUUGGGUUUAAAGGGUGCGUAGGCGGAUCGGUAAUUCAGUGGUCAAAUUGAGGGGCUCAACCCCUUCUCGCCAUUGAAACUGGUGCUCUUGAGUGGAAGAGAAGUAUGCGGAAUGCGUGGUGUAGCGGUGAAAUGCAUAGAUAUCACGCAGAACCCCGAUGGCGAAGGCAGCAUGCCGGCUUCCGACUGACGCUGAAGCACGAAAGCGUGGGGAUCGAACAGGAUUAGAUACCCCGGUAGUC
This 460-nucleotide ribosomal RNA is filed under the name uncultured bacterium. RNAcentral's name for it is "partial 16S ribosomal RNA". It matches the Rfam family "Bacterial small subunit ribosomal RNA", at positions 338 to 795 of the family's 1533-position model. The record is from RNAcentral.